Molecule: long non-coding RNA, 3392 nt
Organism: Sebastes umbrosus (honeycomb rockfish)
Lineage: Eukaryota; Metazoa; Chordata; Actinopteri; Perciformes; Sebastidae
Exons: 3
Source: RefSeq, a predicted model, not a curated record
CAUUUGUUCGCCACGCAACAAAACUACAGUAACGGCCGCUGUUUAGGUUUAGGCAACAAAACCACUCACUUAGAUUUAGGAAAAACAUCAUGGCUGGACUCAAAAUAACUACGUGAACUAAGUAAAAUACGUACAGAAACAAUGUAACAGAAGUAGGGAAAACACGUCACAAACGUAACUUCAAAAUAAGACUUUGGAACACAAAUGCCAGUCUCCUGGUUGAAAGACAGAUAGGAGGUAAACACAGUGUGUUUGUUUGUGUGUCGAUAAGAUUUAAGCUGUCUUGUCAUCACACUUUAAUCAGACGAGACACAGAGCGAUGACACAAACCGAUGACACAAACCGAGCCCUGUCCCUUAAAAUACACUAAAUACACAAUAGAUUGCCUGUGAUGUGAGUACAGGCGGCCUGUGGGUCGAGUUAACAAGAUAAUAGUGAAAUGCAGCCGGUGGAAAAGAGAAGAGUUUAACUCUGAAAUCAGACCAAAGCUGUCAUGUCAUUGCUAUGUAUAUAUUUGUUUUUGAACAAAAUGUUAUUCACUUUUGUACAUUUGGAAUAUACAAAGCUACGUUGUCAGGACAUUUUUACAAAAGGAACUAUUCACAGUUUGGCAAACAAACAUUAUAAUUAAAAUGAUAAAUCAUAGCAUUGUGUGCAUCCACAUAGAGAGGAGUCUCAAAAAAACUUAAAAGAGACAGAUGUUGGGUACAGCACCUUAUUACUUUGGCAAUCUAAAAUAAGUAAUUACACUUUCAUUAACCUGUCUGCCGUUGAUGUAGUGUCGGUGGUUUGAGCCAAGAUAAAGUUAUAAUUUUUUGCCAGCAAUAAAAAGAUAUACAGCAAGUAGGCUUUAUCUUUUCCCAACACAUUCUCACUCCCGAUUCGUCACAUAACGCCGCUUGGUCAGUGCCCCUCGGCAUCAGAGACGGACGCACAGGGUACCCGUCUUACGUUACUUUUGUGUGAAUACACGCUCGUUACAUGCAUAGUGUCCUUUCAAAAUAAAAUUCUGUUUUCACAGGAAGUUAGGUUUAGGCAACACAACCACUCAGUUAGUGUUAGGAAACAGUCGUUGGUGACGUUAACUUCACUCUCUAGCAACUCAACGUGACAAAAUAAGUCAACGUUACUUUUAGAUUUCACACAGGACAUAAACAGCGGUCUCCUGGUUGAAAGUCUUGCGUUUCUUUGACCCAUCAAUCAACCCCUCCCACCCUCCCUUAGCUGACGCUCACGCUAUUAGUGGUAAGUCACUUACUCCGACCGUCAAAUAACGCCCUGGGUGGGUUUACAUUAGAGUUAGUUGGUUAGUCACAUGCUGUUGCUACCGCACAACGGUUUCCAAUGCUGAGAGGCACUGACCAAACGGCGGAAUUUGGUAAGUUGGGAGUGAGAAUGUGUUGCUUCAUACUGUAUAUAUAUCAUAUAUAUAAUAUAUAAUAAAUAAUAUAAAACAAUGGGUCUUGUGGUAAAUCAAUGUUCAAAAUGGCAAAUACAUAUUUCUGUAGUAUGAUUUCAACUUUGGUCAUUGCUAUAUUAUUAAAUCUAUGCUAAUAAAUUAGUAACUUAUUUCUAAUUCUAAGCCUUAAAUAUCUGUAGAAAUGGUCAUGCAUCAUUUCAUUGCUCAUUUUGAAAUGAAGCUUGUCAGCAAACCCUGGCAUGAAAACAUAUUUUGAAGAAUCUUGAGGCCUGUGUCAUUCUGACAUUACUGAAAUCACAUGGUCAUGAUUCACACAUUACCCCGUGAUGAUCAGUUUGUAAAUGGUGAGAGAUGUAUACCCAUGACUUUAAGGUCACCACAAUCCAUGACAAAGUGAAAAACGGAUGAAGAAAAAGUGCAUUUCUGAGCACUUCUGUUUUUUUGAUUGUGCUGUGCUUGUUCCCAUUGUUCCCUGAUAAAGCCUCAUGAUUAGAUUUUUUUUCCAUUUCUUUAAGUCAGACCACAGAGCGUAACUCCCCGUCAUCCUCACCCCACUAUGAUUCAGCAGGAAAGACUGCAGUACUGUAUCCGGACUUCUGCGUCGCUCUGUUAUCCACCCACUCCUCUUUCUGUGGAGAAUGUGAAGACUCACAGAUCAAUGUUAUGGAUUCUUCCAGAAUUCCACUCUACAUUGCGCUGCCGUAUGUACCAGUCUCGUGGUCGACCUCUGACCUUUGGUUAGGCUUCUCUGGCUUAUCUCGCCUCCCUGAUUGGAGACACAGUUAUGCGCAGAAUGCUGGGGGGAUAAAACGUUGAUUGGAUACAAGUUUAGGGAGGCAAAGAUUUCUCAUGUGAGCAGGUUAUCAGCAGACAGUCACACACAACCACAGAGCCACUGUAUGUGAGGCUGGCAGUUGGGAUGGAAAACCACAUAGAAUAAUGCAUCUUAUCAGUCCGUCUCCAGCUUCCUCUCUCUAACUCGUAACAGGCAGAUUACUCAACGGAUUCCCGCUUAGUUUCUUUUCUUGUUUCGUCCUAGCUUGAACAGUAAUAGUCCUCACAGCCCGACGACGGAGCGGCCAAACAGCCUCUUGAGAAAACUCUGAGUUUUUGGAACAGAUCCAGAAACGGCAGGAAGAGCUGGUUCCCAUGAAUGUUUAGUGUUCAGUCCAAACUGAGCUGAACUGAGACGACCAGAGAUGAAGUGAUACAUGUUGCAUAUCCUCAAGCUAGAGGGAUUUAAACUAGAUUUACAGUAAAAGUCAUCAUCCCCUGACAACAUUUUUAGUUGAAGCUGGAUUCAUGAAGUAAGAGACCGUCUGCUCUGGAGAGGAUUCAAUUUAAUUAUACUUGGUUGCUAUGGUUACUGCAUCAGGGUAUUAGACGAAGGGCCUAAAUUGAAUUGGCACAGAGGAUGGACUUGACAAAUCACCUGUGCAGAGUAGCAGCUUCAAAUAGUAUUGUCUGAAAGGGAAAGCAUGCAUCCGAGGGAAAUAGCUUUUUAAAAUUGAUUUAGACUGAUUUGAACACAGACACAGUAUGCCAGACAGCUAAACCUGAAUCAAUCAACAUUUUUAUAUUAACAUUGAAUCAGAUAAGUAUGUGUGAUGUGAUUGGGUUCAUAAACCAUUGUAAUUGUCAUUUAACUUUGCAGCUCUACAAAGCUUUUCAGCCUCUUGUUUUUUCAUCGUAGAUGUAGAUCCACAUUUAAUGUGAUGAUAUGGUUGAACUUCACAACUCUCAACAACCCUGUUUUCAGCAGCACCAGGAAACCUCAGGUGAACCCACUGUACGCUACUUACUCAACACCUAAAGGCUGGAGUAGAAAGUCAAACAUAUAGCAACAUAAUGAGCCACAAUGUUCUCUGGUGUAGCCCACCAGGCGGGGCAUGCUGGGAAAGCUCUUCCGCAUGCUCAUGCACUUCUCCUGGUCCAGGAAGAGUGAGUUGGCCUUGAUGGACAGGUCGUGCUC